UCAGAUUGAACGCUGGCGGCAUGCCUAACACAUGCAUGUCGAACGCGAAAGUCGAACGCACCUUCGGGUGAGUGGCGGACGGGUGAGUAACGCGUGAGAAUCUGCCCUCAGGAGGGGGAUAACGGCUGGAAACGGCCGCUAAUACCCCAUAUGCCGCGAGGUGAAACGAGUUUUCGCCUGAGGAUGAGCUCGCGUCUGAUUAGCUAGUUGGUGGGGUAAGAGCCUACCAAGGCAUCGAUCAGUAGCUGGUCUGAGAGGAUGAUCAGCCACACUGGGACUGAGACACGGCCCAGACUCCUACGGGAGGCAGAAGUGGGGAAUCUUCCGCAAUGGGCGAAAGCCUGACGGAGCAACGCCGCGUGAGGGAUGAAGGCCCCUGGGCUGUAAACCUCUUUUCUCAAGGAAGAAGAUCUGACGGUACUUGAGGGAUAAGCCACGGCUAAUUCCGUGCCAGCAGCCGCGGUAAUACGGGAGUGGCAAGCGUUAUCCGGAAUUAUUGGGCGUAAAGCGUCCGCAGGCGGUCUUGAAAGUCUGUUGUUAAAGCGUGGAGCUUAACUCCAUUUCAGCAAUGGAAACUAGAAGACUAGAGUGUGGUAGGGGCAGAGGGAAUUCCCGGUGUAGCGGUGAAAUGCGUAGAUAUCGGGAAGAACACCAGUGGCGAAGGCGCUCUGCUGGGCCAUAACUGACGCUCAUGGACGAAAGCCAGGGGAGCGAAAGGGAUUAGAUACCCCUGUAGUCCUGGCCGUAAACGAUGAACACUAGGUGUCGGGGGAAUCGACCCCCUCGGUGUCGUAGCCAACGCGUUAAGUGUUCCGCCUGGGGAGUACGCACGCAAGUGUGAAACUCAAAGGAAUUGACGGGGGCCCGCACAAGCGGUGGAGUAUGUGGUUUAAUUCGAUGCAACGCGAAGAACCUUACCAGGGUUUGACAUCCUGCGAAUCCCUUGGAAACGAGGGAGUGCCUUCGGGAGCGCAGAGACAGGUGGUGCAUGGCUGUCGUCAGCUCGUGUCGUGGGAUGUUGGGUUAAGUCCCGCAACGAGCGCAACCCACGUCUUUAGUUGCCAGCAUUCAGUUGGGCACUCUAGAGAGACCGCCGGUGAUAAACCGGAGGAAGGUGUGGAUGACGUCAAGUCAUCAUGCCCCUUACAUCCUGGGCUACACACGUACUACAAUGCUACGGACAAAGGGCAGCAAACUCGCGAGAGCUAGCAAAUCCCAUAAACCGUGGCUCAGUUCAGAUCGUAGGCUGCAACUCGCCUACGUGAAGGAGGAAUCGCUAGUAAUCGCAGGUCAGCAUACUGCGGUGAAUACGUUCCCGGGCCUUGUACACACCGCCCGUCACACCAUGGAAGUUGGCCACGCCCGAAGUCGUUACUCCAACCCUUGUGGAGGAGGACGCCGAAGGUGGGGCUGAUGACUGGGGUGAAGUCGGAACAAGGUA
This 1441-nucleotide ribosomal RNA is filed under the name metagenome. RNAcentral's name for it is "bacterial SSU rRNA". It matches the Rfam family "Bacterial small subunit ribosomal RNA". The record is from RNAcentral.